Long non-coding RNA from Magnolia sinica, 463 nucleotides. RefSeq lists it as uncharacterized. The transcript has 2 exons. NCBI's taxonomy places the organism in Eukaryota, Viridiplantae, Streptophyta, Magnoliopsida, Magnoliales, Magnoliaceae. The record is from RefSeq and is a predicted model, not a curated record.
GCUCGACUGGUCGAGGGGAUUACACGAUUGAUUGAGCGGGUUGCUCGACCAGUCGUGGUCAUCCUUUGACCAGUCGAGGUUAUGCAGAUUCAAGUCCGGAUCUUGUGCGGACUGCAGAAAUCUGAGGCGGUUUUCGCAAAGGUGCAAAAGGGAAGUUUCCUAAACUAUAAAUAGGGGUCCCUAGGGCAAUUCUAAGUAAUUCUAAGGCUUCCUAAAGGUAUUCUAAAGGGUUUUAGGAUUAUCAAAGGGUGUAGCAAGGGUAAGAUUCGAGGUUGUUCGAAUCGGGUAAUUCCUCUCUCUUUGUAAUUUAUGCUUUCAUAGUGGAAUUCUGUCGCUUUGUGCCGUGGUUUUUUCCCGUAAGGAUUUUCCACGUUAAAUCUGUGUGUUCUCUAGCAUGCUUGUGUGCUUGGUGCCAUUGGAUUACUAUCCUAGAUCUAGAUCUGUGUGAUUCCAUAGGCCAAAA